GAUGAACGCUAGCGGCAGGCCUAAUACAUGCAAGUCGAACGGUAAACGGUCCUUCGGGACCGUGAUAGUGGCGGACGGGUGCGUAACGCGUAUGCAACCAACCCCCGACGGGCGGACAGCCGGUGGAAACGCCGGAUAACACGCCAUGCGACCCCGGGAGGGCAUCCUCUCGGGGCCAAAGCCCACGGGCGGUCGGGGACGGGCAUGCGUGCCAUUAGCUAGUAGGCGGGGUGAGGGCCCACCUAGGCUACUAUGGCUAGGGGAUCUGAUAGGACGGUCCCCCACACUGGUACUGAUACACGGACCAUACUCCUGCGGGAGGCAGCAGUAAGGGAUAUUGGGCAAUGGGGGGAACCCUGUACCAGCCAUGCCGCGUGAGGGAAUGAGGCCCUACGGGUCGUGAACCUCUUUUAUUCGGGGACAAGGACACCUACGGGAUGGGUGUCUGAGGGUACCGUAGGAAUUAGCGUCGGCUAACUCCCGUGCCAGCAGGCGCGGGUAUACGGAGGACGCGAACGUUAUCCGGAUUCAUGGGG
This 536-nucleotide ribosomal RNA is filed under the name uncultured bacterium. Its description in RNAcentral is "bacterial SSU rRNA". It matches the Rfam family "Bacterial small subunit ribosomal RNA", at positions 28 to 558 of the family's 1533-position model. The record is from RNAcentral.